CAGCAGCCGCGGUAAUGCAGAGGAUGCAAGCGUUAUCCGGAAUGAUUGGGCGUAAAGCGUCUGUAGGUGGCUUUUCAAGUCCGCCGUCAAAUCCCAGGGCUCAACCCUGGACAGGCGGUGGAAACUACCAAGCUGGAGUACGGUAGGGGCAGAGGGAAUUUCCGGUGGAGCGGUGAAAUGCGUAGAGAUGUGGAGGAACACCAGUGGCGAAGGCGACUCUCUGGUCUGUAACUGACGCUGAGGAGCGAAAGCGUGGGGAGCGAACAGGAUUAGAUACCCCCGUAGUCCCUGUCUCUUAUAC
RNAcentral lists this ribosomal RNA (301 nucleotides) under uncultured bacterium. RNAcentral describes it as "partial 16S ribosomal RNA". It matches the Rfam family "Bacterial small subunit ribosomal RNA", at positions 509 to 807 of the family's 1533-position model. The record is from RNAcentral.